This 70-nucleotide transfer RNA is filed under the name Sphaerodactylus townsendi. Its description in RNAcentral is "tRNA-Ala". It matches the Rfam family "tRNA". Rfam says of the family: Transfer RNA (tRNA) molecules are approximately 80 nucleotides in length. Their secondary structure includes four short double-helical elements and three loops (D, anti-codon, and T loops). The record is from RNAcentral. Lineage: Eukaryota; Metazoa; Chordata; Lepidosauria; Squamata; Sphaerodactylidae.
GGUAGUGGUUCAGUGGUAAAACCUCUGCUUUGCUUGCAGAAGGUUGCAGGUUCAAUCCCCGCCAUCCCCA